This 497-nucleotide ribosomal RNA is filed under the name uncultured bacterium. RNAcentral describes it as "partial 16S ribosomal RNA". It matches the Rfam family "Bacterial small subunit ribosomal RNA", at positions 28 to 507 of the family's 1533-position model. The record is from RNAcentral.
GAUGAACGCUGGCGGCGUGCCUAAUACAUGCAAGUCGAGCGAACAGACGAGGAGCUUGCUCCUCUGACGUUAGCGGCGGACGGGUGAGUAACACGUGGAUAACCUACCUAUAAGACUGGGAUAACUUCGGGAAACCGGAGCUAAUACCGGAUAAUAUAUUGAACCGCAUGGUUCAAUAGUGAAAGACGGUUUUGCUGUCACUUAUAGAUGGAUCCGCGCCGCAUUAGCUAGUUGGUAAGGUAACGGCUUACCAAGGCAACGAUGCGUAGCCGACCUGAGAGGGUGAUCGGCCACACUAGAACUGAGACACGGUCCAGACUCCUACGGGAGGCAGCAGUAGGGAAUCUGCCGCAAUGGGCGAAAGCCUGACGGAGCAACGCCGCGUGAGUGAUGAAGGUCUUCGGAUCGUAAAACUCUGUUAUUAGGGAAGAACAAAUGUGUAAGUAACUAUGCACGUCUUGACGGUACCUAAUCAGAAAGCCACGGCUAACUACGUG